This 480-nucleotide ribosomal RNA is filed under the name uncultured bacterium. Its description in RNAcentral is "partial 16S ribosomal RNA". It matches the Rfam family "Bacterial small subunit ribosomal RNA", at positions 28 to 507 of the family's 1533-position model. The record is from RNAcentral.
GACGAACGCUGGCGGCGUGCUUAACACAUGCAAGUCGAACGAUGAAGAAAAGAAUCGAAGCUUCGGCAGAAAUUCAUUUCGGAUUAGUGGCAGACGGGUGAGUAACGCGUGAGCAACCUACCUCUUACAAAGGGAUAGCCUCGGGAAACCGGGAUUAAUACCAUAUAACAUUGCGACGAAGCAUUUCGAUGCAAUCAAAGCUACGGCGGUAAGAGAUGGGCUCGCGUCCCAUUAACCGGAUGGUGAGGUAACGGCUCACCAUAGUGACGAUGGGUAACCGGCCUGAGAGGGUGAACGGUCACACUGGAACUGAGACACGGUCCAGACUCCUACGGGAGGCAGCAGUGGGGAAUAUUGCACAAUGGAGGGAACUCUGAUGCAGCGACGCCGCGUGAGUGAUGAAGGAAUUCGUUUCGUAAAACUCUGCUCUAUGGGAAGAAAAGGACUGUACCAUAGGAGAAAGCUCCGGCUAAAUACGUG